AGCUCCGUGCGGUGGCGGUAUCAUAGCCAAUGAGGUUAAUCUGAGGCACAAUUAUUGCUAAUUGAAAACUUUACUCUUUCACAC
RNAcentral lists this small nuclear RNA (84 nucleotides) under Alligator sinensis (Chinese alligator). RNAcentral describes it as "U4 spliceosomal RNA". It matches the Rfam family "U4 spliceosomal RNA", at positions 1 to 83 of the family's 138-position model. From Rfam's summary of the family: U4 small nuclear RNA (U4 snRNA) is a component of the major U2-dependent spliceosome. The structure of U4 snRNA from yeast and human has been reported. Lineage: Eukaryota; Metazoa; Chordata; Crocodylia; Alligatoridae. The record is from Rfam by way of RNAcentral.